This is a long non-coding RNA of Sciurus carolinensis (gray squirrel), 2731 nucleotides long. RefSeq lists it as uncharacterized. NCBI's taxonomy places the organism in Eukaryota, Metazoa, Chordata, Mammalia, Rodentia, Sciuridae. The transcript is spliced from 6 exons. The record is from RefSeq and is a predicted model, not a curated record.
AGGUACUGGCCAUGACACUGGAGUUCGUAGUGUUUAGGAGACCAAAGAACAGUCACCACCCUCAGCCCAAGUUCACCUGGCCAAGGUGCACUAGAUCUAUAUUCAUGGAGUUUGGAACUCUACGCUUCAAAAAAAUCAUCCAGAUGUCAUGAGGUGAGCAACUUCCUCCAGCACAUACUCCUGCACCUUCUUAUUCUCUCUCACCUCAGACCCAAACAAUGGAGCCAUCUGACCAUGGACUGAACCUCUGUGUCUCAAAAGGCGUUCCUGGUGCCUGUGUCUCUGGAUCUACAGUAAAGGUAGACACGAAACAGAACCUCCAGCAAACCUCAAGGUCAUGCUGUGGAAAUUCACUUGAUGGACAUGUUUGACAGACCAAGAAACAGAAGAUUAAGUACAAUAAUUUAAGGUAUAAAAGUUACUACUAAAAGACCUUGAGAAGAUCACAAAACUUUCCAAAUUUCCAGAAGUAUUUGGAACCUACACACAAUGCACAUAUUUAGAACAGAGAUGAUACAUCAAAGGUAACUAAAACACACACACACAAGCACAUACAUGCACCCAGACACACACACACAAACUAUAGUGAUAAAAUUAAUGAGGAAGCUGAAAUAUCAACAACAGUAAAUGGAAUAAAAUCACAUAUUAAUUGAAAUUGAUGCUAAUAUCAAACAGACACUAUUGAUUGUAAAACUCAUUAAGCAAAUCACUAAAAAUAUUGAAAAUAAAAUUAUGGCCAAGUACAUACUUGGGAUUUGAAGAAAAAUAAAGUACAGAUAAAUUAGUGGUUUAAAAUAGUAUGGCUCCCCCAUACGACAUGUAUUAACACACUUGCCAAUGUUUCCUAUGUGUCAGGGUGAACACGAACAAAUAACAUGUAUAGAUCCAAAUAAAGAUAUUUCCCUUUACUUUUUCUCAGAAGUAAUAUCUAAUAUGAGAUUUUUACAUAUUAUUUGUGGACUUGCUUUGUAUGCAUUUACCAUAAAUAUUUACUGAUAAACAACAUAGAGAAUUGUUUUAUGUAAUUUUCUGCCUUGCAUGAUGUUGAAAACCCAAGCCACUUGGUGCCUUGGUCUGGGACUUCUAGGGAGACCUUUGUGAAUGUGACUGUAUUGAAGAUGGAGUCUUCAAAGAACCUGUCUCCUAAUGGUCUCAUUAAAUUAAAAUGAAGCUAAAUUAGAAUGAGGCUGUUAGGAUGAGCUAUAACAUAAUACGACUGGCAUCCUGACACAAAAGGAGGAGAUCAGGACCAGAGACAUACAAAGGGAAGAUCACAUGAGACACACAGAGAAGAUGGACACUUACAAGCCAAGGAAAAAGGUAUCUGAAGAAACCAACUUUGCCAGCACUCUGAUUUGAGACUUCUAGCCUCCAGAACUCUGAGAAUUUCUGUUGUUUGAGCCAGCCCAUCUGUGGUACUUUCAUGUAAGUCCUAGCAAGCUGAAACCAGAAAUGUUUUAUAUCCACUCCCCAUAUAUAAUAUGUGUUUAUCUUAUGCUUCAUAUUUUCACUUCUUCCUUUCUCCUUCACAUAUUCCCUCACAUAUUCUUCCUCCUUCAACUUGAUUUGUGCAAUUAUUUUUUGGCAUUAUAAAGACAGAUGUGAGUCAAGGGAAAAUUUUCAUGUAACAACAAAAAUGAAUAUAAAUUGAAAUUGCCAUAUUGCAAAUAUAUUAUGUUUUAUGUGCAAAAUAUAUCGGGAUUCAGAGAAGGAAUUAUUUGUUUAUAAUCCCAUAUUUGAAUGAGCUAGUUAUGGGGUACAUAGACUCGUUGGUCAAUGUCAAAUGAGGCAGGCCAUGAGCAAGAUGAGAUUUCAACACACUCCUUAAUCAUUAAAGUCUCACUCUCCUGUCUCCAUUGUUCCAUUGCAUUCCUUCAAUGAUUCAUUUUUCAAUUACGUGGAUAGGAAAAGAGAAGAUAUUCCACCAAAAACACUGUUCUUACAUCUUCAGUAUUUUCAGAGAAUGUGCCUGUCUUACCUUGUUUGUCAUUACUAAACACUAGAUCUCCCUCAGUUACAAAAAUUUUAUUUUGUAAGUAUUUUAUUGUGUCAAAAAUAUACAACCUAAAAUUUACCAUCCUACCACUUUUCAGUCUACAGUAGUAUUAAGUAUAUUGACACUGCUAAAAACACAUCUCCAGAACUCUUCCACAUUGCAAAACUGAAGCUAUGCACCUUUAACCAUACCUCUUCACCGCACCCAAACCCUGGGAACCACUGUGCUACCUUCUGUCUCUAUGAAUUCAAUUUCUCUAGGUAUUUCAUAUAAGUAGGAUCAUACAGUGUUUGACUUUUUUGUAACUGGCCCAUUUCACUUAUCAUGAUGUUCUCAACAUUCACCCAUAUUGGAGUAUAUGUCAGAAUUUCCUUUCUUUUUAAGGUCAAAUAAUAUUCCAUUGUAUGUAGAUGCUAAAUUUUAUCCAUUCAUCUGCUGAUGAACACUUGGGUUGCUCCACCUUUUGUUUCUUGUGAAUAGUGCUGCAAUGAGCAAGGAUAUCAAACUCCCUUUCUGAAACUGUCUUAGUCUCUUUUUGCAGAUAACAAAAUAUUCCAAGAUGAGUAAUUUCUAAAGAAAAGAAAUUAAUUUGUUACAGUUCUGCAAACUUAUGAGUCCAAGAUCAAGGUGGUGGGAUCUGGUGUCUUUUGAGAGCCUUCUUGCUGCAUCCUCACUUGAUGGAAAAGGUGAAAGGCAUGAGGGAUAAAUAAUGUGACAUCAUGUGGCAAAAGACAG